UACGUAGGGCGCAAGCGUUGUCCGGAAUUAUUGGGCGUAAAGAGCUCGUAGGCGGUUUGUCGCGUCUGUCGUGAAAGCUUGGGGCUUAACCCCAAGUCUGCGGUGGAUACGGGCAGGCUAGAGUGUGGUAGGGGAGACUGGAAUUCCUGGUGUAGCGGUGAAAUGCGCAGAUAUCAGGAGGAACACCGGUGGCGAAGGCGGAUCUCUGGGCCGAUACUGACGCUGAGGAGCGAAAGCGUGGGGAGCGAACAGG
This 253-nucleotide ribosomal RNA is filed under the name uncultured bacterium. RNAcentral describes it as "partial 16S ribosomal RNA". It matches the Rfam family "Bacterial small subunit ribosomal RNA", at positions 524 to 776 of the family's 1533-position model. The record is from RNAcentral.